GUCCCCCUCCUCCUUAAAUUAUAAGCUUACCCUAUUGGACAUGAUGUGGUGUCUCACUGGUUCUGGUUUGCAUUUCCUUGAUAACUAUUCAUGUCAAACAGGCAUCUUUUCGGGUGCAUAUUGGCCAUUUGCUUAUCUUUUUUGGAAAAAUAGCUGUUCAAAUUCUUUCUCAUUUUUUAAAUUGGGUUUGUUUUUUUGUGGGUUUGGGUGUAGAUUUUGUUGUGGUGAUUGUUGAGUUGUUAAGUAUUCUUUUCUUUUAAUUCUGGAUAUUAGUCUCUUAUCAGAAUAAAGGUUUGCAAAUAUUUUCUCCCAUUCUUUGGAUUAUCAUCUCACUUUCUUAGUGAUGUCCUUUACAGAAGUUUAAAAUUGUGGUCAAGUUCAACUGCUUAUGCUUAUGUUCUUGGUGUCAUAUCUAAGAAGCCAUUACCCUAUCCAAGGUAAUGAGGUGUUAACAACAGUGUUUUCU
This 466-nucleotide long non-coding RNA is filed under the name Marmota monax (woodchuck). The record is from RNAcentral. Lineage: Eukaryota; Metazoa; Chordata; Mammalia; Rodentia; Sciuridae.